GGGAGAAGAAGAAGCAAACCCUAACCUCAUCUUCAAACCUUGAUAACUUUUGAUCCGGAGUUCCGAUUGACGAGCUGUUUGCGACCCCGCGACGGGCUCGUCGAGCUCUUUAAUUCUAUUUAACCAAAACAGGGUCCACUAGACUUGAUUUCUUGUGGGUAUUGCCCAAGGAUCAGUGGGUAAAGGUAGUGUGUCUGUGAAUGUUGAUGCUUGUUGGAGGCUUGUUGGUGAUCAAGCUUGGUUUGGGGCUGUUUGAUUGAGCUUGGAGGGGCUGUACUUUUGAGUUGUGAGGCUGCCUUGGGUGAACUAAGUGAUCGGCCAAGGUAUGGUUUAAGUUUCGCAC
This is a long non-coding RNA of Arachis duranensis, 343 nucleotides long. RefSeq lists it as uncharacterized. NCBI's taxonomy places the organism in Eukaryota, Viridiplantae, Streptophyta, Magnoliopsida, Fabales, Fabaceae. The transcript is spliced from 3 exons. The record is from RefSeq and is a predicted model, not a curated record.